Molecule: ribosomal RNA, 203 nt
Filed under: uncultured bacterium
Lineage: Bacteria
Description: partial 16S ribosomal RNA
Rfam family: Bacterial small subunit ribosomal RNA
Source: RNAcentral
AUUACUCCUACGGGAGGCAGCAGUAGGGAAUAUUGGUCAAUGGGCGCAAGCCUGAUCCAGCCAUGCCGCGUGGGUGAAGAAGGCCUUCGGGUUGUAAAGCCCUUUUGUUGGGAAAGAAAACUUUCCGGCUAAUACCCGGAGAGAAUGACGGUACCCAAAGAAUAAGCACCGGCUAACUUCGUGCCAGCAGCCGCGGUAAUAAU